CUCGCCUACAUGAAGUUGGAAUCGCUAGUAAUCGCGAAUCAGAAUGUCGCGGUGAAUACGUUCCCGGGUCUUGUACACACCGCCCGUCACACCACGAGAGUUUACAACACCCGAAGUCAGUGGCCUAACCGCAAGGAGGGAGCUGCCUAAGGUGGGGUAGAUGAUUGGGGUGAAGUCGUAACAAGGUACC
Molecule: ribosomal RNA, 190 nt
Filed under: uncultured bacterium
Lineage: Bacteria
Description: partial 16S ribosomal RNA
Rfam family: Bacterial small subunit ribosomal RNA
Source: RNAcentral